AUUCUUUCCACCCUGGAUGAAGAGAAGCCACUGUGGAUAUUAAUCAGUAGUAUUUGCUCCCUGGUCUGUUAUCUGAGUCUUUUGGGGUGCUCAGUGAUUACAGCAGGCCAGCUCUAGAUCCAGAUCUCCUCCCCACCUACAGGUCAUUGGAUAUGUAUUGCUUAGAAAGGCUCUUGACAAGGCAGACAGGACAUCCAGAUAAUGAUCACCUUGAAGAACGUUUGGAUUUUUCCUUUCCUAGCCUGAGGGUGAGGUUGCUGGAACUGAUUAUUAUUUCCAAUGUUAACGUCUAAAAAAAAGGUACAUGCAUAUUUGCUAAGUACUAUGAUUAUUUAUUGUGCUGAGUGGAGAUAGUACUUCCUUCUCCUCACUUUUACUAUUUCACUGGCCCAAGAUAUCCUGUAAAGAAUUGUAGCACUUCCUCUUUGUGUCUGCGCACACGUGGGACUUAGACUUUCUAUCUUGUGACACAGUAGACAGCAGUGGUUGAAAUCCCCCCCUUACUGAGUGUUAUGUGAUAAUUCUGGAUAUGACAGGGGAUUA
RNAcentral lists this long non-coding RNA (543 nucleotides) under Apteryx rowi (Okarito brown kiwi). Its description in RNAcentral is "lncRNA (ENSARWG00000009179.1)". Lineage: Eukaryota; Metazoa; Chordata; Aves; Apterygiformes; Apterygidae. The record is from RNAcentral.